This 245-nucleotide ribosomal RNA is filed under the name uncultured bacterium. RNAcentral's name for it is "partial 16S ribosomal RNA". It matches the Rfam family "Bacterial small subunit ribosomal RNA", at positions 524 to 768 of the family's 1533-position model. The record is from RNAcentral.
GACGAACCGUGCGAACGUUGUUCGGAAUCACUGGGCUUAAAGGGCGCGUAGGCGGAUCACCAAGUCCGGGGUGAAAUCUUUCGGCUUAACCGGAAAACAGCCCUGGAUACUGGUGGUCUCGAGCGAGGUAGGGGCCGUUGGAACUUCCGGUGGAGCGGUGAAAUGCGUUGAUAUCGGAAGGAACGCCGGUGGCGAAAGCGAACGGCUGGACCUCUUCUGACGCUGAGGCGCGAAAGCCAGGGGAG